Molecule: long non-coding RNA, 1414 nt
Organism: Equus caballus (horse)
Lineage: Eukaryota; Metazoa; Chordata; Mammalia; Perissodactyla; Equidae
Source: Ensembl
UCAGCUGACCUAACAGAGACAUCCCCUGACACUUUAGACACUCCCCUUGACUACACAGAGACAUCCCAUGCCCACACAGAGACUUGUCUGACCACCCAGAGACCUCCACUGACCUCAUAGUGAACCCCUCUUCCCUCAAAGUGAGGUCUCCUGAUUUCACAGAGAACUCCCUGAACACACAAAGAACUCCCAUGACCUCCAAGAAACCUCUAGUGACAUUAUAGAGACCCCUCUCUGACCUCACCGAGACCUGAUAUCACAGAGGCCAGCCAUUACCUCAACAAGAUCCCCUACAACACAGUGAGAACUCCACUAAUUUCAUGGAAACCUCAAGUGACUCUCACCAGAUCUAGGAUCUCAGGGAAAUGAAGAGAGGAUGACCUGCCACCCUGUUCAUGGGAAAAAGCCACUUGAAUUUUGAACUGUGUUUUAAGAACCAUACAUAUUCCUCAAGUCAAGGACAGGAUCACAAUGAACAACUAAGUGAGCAUUGAAGAAAACCUUGGUAGUCCUUGAGCAGAGCAGGAGGAACACCGUGACACCAAGUCGAAAGCAUUGAGGAACUCGUGGAUGUGCAGGAGCAAGCUCACAGAGUAAAGAUUCCCAGUGUUUUCAACAAGGGAGGAGUUAAAUGUUUCCAGUUAAUCCAGAAUAACCUAAAUUUAUGUUGCCUGGUGUUUUUUUCUACUGUGGCCUCAAACUUUGGGCUUACUGCUUAGAACAGAAUAAUUACUUAGGAACUGUUUAAUCUUAUUUUUUAGUUAUUAAAAAAAUCCAUUGAGUUUUCAGCACUGUUCUGGGUGCUGGCAAUAGAGCAGCAACAAAGACAUGAAAUUGUGGUCAAGAAGACUAUAUUCUAGUGAAGGGGCAAACUACAUGUCAUUAAAUCAAUAAACAGAAUUACCUUCUCGUAGUUGUGUUAUGAAAGAAUAAAAAUGAGAGCUGAGGGGAGCAUGAUAUGUGGAAACUUCUCUGGAUACUUGUUGAGUAAAUAAAUCCUUAUUGACAGACUCAACAACAGAGAGAAGAUGAAUGAUGUUCUCCAGCAUCACAUCUCUGUGUAGCUUUUGCCAGGAUGUGCCCACCAAGGCCUAUUCUUCCUGGGUGAAGCCCAGAACCACAUCCAUGAAGGUCGCUGAUUCCUAAAACAUUGUGGACAUUCUGGUUCAGACAGGGACGUCUCUACCAGAGUCCAGGGGCAGAAAGUUGACAUGAUAGAGUUGGGGAAAUGAGGCUGUAGGUAUAGAAAGCUGAAGUCCUCUUUGGGGUUCUAGCCAAACGCUUCCCUGUGCUGAUCUGGCAUGUGUUAUUCUUGCAUAACCGCAAACGUAUAUACAGUCUGUACACAGCCUUAAUACAUACUAGCUUCAUUAUCACAUGAUGUGCAAUGUGAAAUAAACUGGACAUUUCCCAA